GCCCGAAGCCGAUUAUCUAACCUUUUGGAAGAAGUCGUCGAAGGUGGAAUUAAUAACUGGGGUGAAGUCGUAACAAGGUAGCCGUAUCGGAAGGUGCGGCUGGAUCACCUCCUUUCUAAGGAGA
RNAcentral lists this ribosomal RNA (124 nucleotides) under Clostridioides difficile. RNAcentral's name for it is "partial 16S ribosomal RNA". It matches the Rfam family "Bacterial small subunit ribosomal RNA", at positions 1419 to 1533 of the family's 1533-position model. Lineage: Bacteria; Bacillati; Bacillota; Clostridia; Peptostreptococcales; Peptostreptococcaceae. The record is from RNAcentral.